Coturnix japonica (Japanese quail) is the source of this 1145-nucleotide non-coding RNA. NCBI's taxonomy places the organism in Eukaryota, Metazoa, Chordata, Aves, Galliformes, Phasianidae. The record is from RefSeq and is a predicted model, not a curated record.
AAAAAAAAAAAAAAGAAAAAGAAGAAGAGGAAACCAAGCAAGUUUCGCACUUCUGCCAGGAUCACGGAUGAAAGCAAACGCGCACAUGCUUACGAGGACUGUUCAUGUUUCAGGUGCUCUUUCCUUUUCAGAUCCAACACGCACGCAGAAAGGUGACUGCUGUUCUGUGGCGUGGGUCUGUCCAAACACUAUUUGUCUUCGUGUCUGUUCAGUCCCUGCGUUAAUGCUCCGUCAUGGGAUGAUGAUGAUCCCAGCUCUGUACCAUGGCGAGGAGACGGGGAGGAGGAAGGACUGAGGACAGCAAAGGAGCUGGUGGCAUUUACAGCUUGUGUCAAGCUUUGUAUAAUGUAAAUUCUGUACAAAUCCGGGGGGUUCUUUUUGGCUUUUUGGGUUGUUUUUUUUCUUUUGGUCGAAUAAAUAGAUGGAAUAAGCAGCAUUAAGAAACUGAAGACAGAAAUUUGCCAAGCCGAGGCUUCUUCCUUGCCCCCCCCCCCAGUCUGAAACCUAAUGUGCAAAAUCUAUUUAUUUCAAGCGAGGAAAUGUGUACAGUCUAAUAGACAUCCUGCGAUGUAUUUAAGCGAGUUUGCAACUGGAUUAUUAUUAUUAUUAUUUGGGUUUUUGUUUUUGUUUCAUUUUAUUAUUUUUAUGAGUUUCCUCCUUAAUGGCCGCUGUAGUAUUUGUUGGAGUGAAAAGAAACAGGUUGUGAUGGACGUGAAGGGGCAGUGAGGAGGAGGUGGAGGAGCUCCCACAGCUUUCUGGUUCCGUGACAGGUUGUUUUAAUUCACAGUGUGAAAAUAAAGGGCUUCCUUUAAAAGGGGGCAGCUAAAAUGGUUUGCAAUAAAUGAAUUAUUAUUUUUUUAUGUUCCUUAAAAAAAAAAAAAAAGAAUUUCUGCUUUGAAGAUUUAGGAUUUCUGCUUUUUUUCUUUUUUCUUUUUUUUUUUUUUUAAGCAAAUUUAUAAAUUUAGGGAUGUUUUGUGCAUAUAGAAUCCGUCACCAGUAUGUAUCUUGUUUUGAAGCAAGUGUUUUUGUUGUGGAUGUGUCAUGCUGUAUAUAUUUGUUCAUAUUUUUGUGAAUUGAAUACUAUGUACCAUUGUAUUAUAGUAACUUUUAUAAAGCAAACCAUAAAUAUACUGACUUUUCUUACA